This 57-nucleotide microRNA precursor is filed under the name Pteropus alecto (black flying fox). RNAcentral describes it as "microRNA pal-mir-9993b precursor". Lineage: Eukaryota; Metazoa; Chordata; Mammalia; Chiroptera; Pteropodidae. The record is from miRBase by way of RNAcentral.
UAGGUCUUAGGGAAAACUUCCCUCCUCCCUCUGGGGAGUAUCUCGCUGGGGCCUCCA